AUUAUUCCAUAUGUGUUAUUUCAUAGUUUUAUUGUCUUCACUGUUAUUCUACAAUGUGGAAAAAAGUACAAAUAAAGAAAUCCUUGAAUGAGGUGUCCAAACAUUUGACUGGUACUGUAUAUUGUUUGGUCCUAGCCUUAUUUAUUUGUUUACUGAUGGUCAAAGUUUGAGUCCUUUUUUUGAUUUGAAUGUUCUCUUGUUGCCUUUUCUCCAGAGCCCCACAGUGGUGUCAAAAUACUCGUAAAGCCUAGUGGUCAAACAGGGAAAUUGUUUCAAUUAUUUUUUCACAUGGGAUUUUUAGAAACACUUAAAUAUAAGGGCUGUGUUUCAUGUAGUCUUACCCUGGCGUGACGUUUGGAUAACCAUAUAAAUCUCAAUCCGACAAGGUGACUUAGCAAUAUAUUCGACUCUAUUUACUCUGAAUCGAAAAUGCAAAUUAGCAUAAAAGUAGACAUCAGGCAGAACUACAAAUCCCUGCUGACACCUUUGCUAACAGGUAUUGUGUCAAUUUAAAUCUUGCACAAGACAAUAUACAGAAUUAUCCAUUUAAAGCAAAGUUGCCAAUUUGUUCAUUACACCAUUUAGUUAACAUUGGAUAGUUAAUCCAGGGCUUUUUACCUUUGCCUCAUUUUGGCAAUUCUGCAUGUUUACUUUUAUGCUAAUGAGCAUUUUCUAAUCAGAGUAAAUGGAGCUGACUGUUGAUAAAAGUCACCUUGUCGGAGACCGAUUUACAUGGUUAUCAAAACGUCAUGCCAAGGUAAGCCUACAUGAAACACAGCCCUUAUGUUCAGUGUUUCUAAAAUUUAAUAGAAAAAAUGAAUGGUUGGGAAACGAUUGGAACCAUUUCCUCGUUUGACCACUAGGUUUUAUGGGUAUUACGACACAUACUGUGGUACUCUAUUGCCUGUAUAGCCAAAGGCUUUCACCUUCGAGUGAAGCCUGGGAGCUGAGGGUGGUGGUGGAGGGGGGCUUGGUGUUGUCACUCCAGGAGCUUCUUUCCUCAGUGUGGGAAUUCUGUCUGCUGCCAUUUUUGUUUCAGUUAUUACUCAAAAGUACUUAUUCAGAUGGGACUUAAACUUUAACCAAUCCAGUCAGAGGAAAGCCCUCUCAAUGAGAAGAGUUCAAAGGCAUUUUCAUGAUGAUGAUUCAACAAUCAUUUUCGCAAAACAAACUGUAAUGCCAUGUAAAUGGGAUUUUAGUAGUUUUUCUCCUAUUGCUACUAUGUCAUUGCCUUGUUCUUGAAUUGGUGUGAGUCCUUCCUUCCUUGCUUGUAAAAACAGUUGAUAAUUUGACUUGUAAAAUGGACUCUGCUGUCAUACUCCAAAAGGUAGAUUGGUCAAUGCGUGCCUACUCUGACAAUCCCGGAUAGUGUUCCUUCAUGUAUGUACAUAAAGUGUGUGUGUGUGUGUGUGUGUGUGUGUGUGUGUGUAAGAUAGGGAUCCUUCAUGUAUGUACAGUGUGUGUAUACAUAUACCACAGGCCCCUGGCCCACUCCUAACACCCCUUCAAACUGAGCAAAGGUGUGUAUGUGCACCCCUCAAAGCGGUUAUACCCCAACUUGGGAGAGGGGUAACCUAACAGACGCCUAGAAGAGAUCUCAUGGCUUUUUUUUUUUUUUACAAGCACUCUCUGUGCUAUCCAGACUGCAUUAAAUACUGUUGAGUCGUUCUACUGUUGCUUACUGUUAUUUCUGUCUGUCAAAAGCUUUCAUCAAGUCAAAAUGAAAUGAUAACUUUAACAAUGACUAUAACAUGAUUUAAGAUGAUGAUAAAAAUGUUUUGUAAUAUGUGUUUAAAUUUCCGGAGGUCCUUUGCUUUCAUCUCUGAUUAUGCCAUGUACUUGAGAUGUAACCGAAUAACGUAUUUCCCUGGUUUAGGUUUUUGUUCUGUACAGAUGAAGUUGGACAAUUUGUUAAUAAAGACUGCAGGUUUUUA
Long non-coding RNA from Oncorhynchus gorbuscha (pink salmon), 1934 nucleotides. RefSeq lists it as uncharacterized. The record is from RefSeq and is a predicted model, not a curated record. The transcript has 2 exons. Lineage: Eukaryota; Metazoa; Chordata; Actinopteri; Salmoniformes; Salmonidae.